GACGAACGCUGGCGGCGUGCUUAACACAUGCAAGUCGAACGGUAAGGCCCUUUCGGGGGUACACGAGUGGCGAACGGGUGAGUAACACGUGGGUGAUCUGCCCUGCACUUUGGGAUAAGCCUGGGAAACUGGGUUUAAUACCGGAUAGGACUACGCGAUGCAUGUCGUGUGGUGGAAAGCUUUUGCGGUGUGGGAUGGGCCCGCGGCCUAUCAGCUUGUUGGUGGGGUGAUGGCCUACCAAGGCGACGACGGGUAGCCGGCCUGAGAGGGUGUCCGGCCACACUGGGACUGAGAUACGGCCCAGACUCCUACGGGAGGCAGCAGUGGGGAAUAUUGCACAAUGGGCGCAAGCCUGAUGCAGCGACGCCGCGUGGGGGAUGACGGCCUUCGGGUUGUAAACCCCUUUCAGCACAGACGAAGCGUAAGUGACGGUAUGUGCAGAAGAAGCACCGGCCAACUACGUG
RNAcentral lists this ribosomal RNA (464 nucleotides) under uncultured bacterium. RNAcentral's name for it is "partial 16S ribosomal RNA". It matches the Rfam family "Bacterial small subunit ribosomal RNA", at positions 28 to 507 of the family's 1533-position model. The record is from RNAcentral.